AAUGAAGGAACAAAGGCUAAGAACGUCACGUCCUGUGACAAAGCCUUUGUGACCUGCAUCGUGCAGC
RNAcentral lists this small RNA (67 nucleotides) under Lentibacillus halodurans. Its description in RNAcentral is "Bacillaceae-1 RNA". It matches the Rfam family "Bacillaceae-1 RNA". Lineage: Bacteria; Bacillati; Bacillota; Bacilli; Caryophanales; Bacillaceae. The record is from Rfam by way of RNAcentral.